This 433-nucleotide ribosomal RNA is filed under the name uncultured bacterium. RNAcentral describes it as "partial 16S ribosomal RNA". It matches the Rfam family "Bacterial small subunit ribosomal RNA", at positions 29 to 507 of the family's 1533-position model. The record is from RNAcentral.
AACGAACGCUGGCGGCAUGCCUAACACAUGCAAGUCGAACGAGACCUUCGGGUCUAGUGGCGCACGGGUGCGUAACGCGUGGGAACCUGCCCUUAGGUUCGGAAUAACUCCCCGAAAGGGGUGCUAAUACCGGAUAAUGUCUUCGGACCAAAGAUUUAUCGCCUUUGGAUGGGCCCGCGUUGGAUUAGCUAGUUGGUUGGGUAAAAGCCUACCAAGGCGACGAUCCAUAGCUGGUCUGAGAGGAUGAUCAGCCACACUUGGACUGAGACACGGCCCAGACUCCUACGGGAGGCAGCAGUGGGGAAUAUUGGACAAUGGGCGAAAGCCUGAUCCAGCAAUGCCGCGUGAGUGAUGAAGGCCUUAGGGUUGUAAAGCUCUUUUACCCGGGAUGAUAAUGACAGUACCGGGAGAAUAAGCUCCGGCUAACUCCGUG